This 253-nucleotide ribosomal RNA is filed under the name uncultured bacterium. RNAcentral's name for it is "partial 16S ribosomal RNA". It matches the Rfam family "Bacterial small subunit ribosomal RNA", at positions 524 to 776 of the family's 1533-position model. The record is from RNAcentral.
UACGAAGGGUGCAAACGUUGCUCGGAAUUAUUGGGCGUAAAGCGCACGUAGGCGGCUUUGCAAGUCCCAUGUGAAAUCCCACGGCUCAACCGUGGAAGUGCAUGGGAAACUGCAGAGCUUGAGUACUUAAGAGGAUCGCGGAAUUCCCGGUGUAGAGGUGAAAUUCGUAGAUAUCGGGAGGAACACCGGUGGCGAAGGCGGCGAUCUGGGAAGAUACUGACGCUGAGGUGCGAAAGCGUGGGGAGCAAACAGG